Long non-coding RNA from Mytilus californianus (California mussel), 3175 nucleotides. RefSeq lists it as uncharacterized. The transcript has 3 exons. Lineage: Eukaryota; Metazoa; Mollusca; Bivalvia; Mytilida; Mytilidae. The record is from RefSeq and is a predicted model, not a curated record.
CCACUGCAAGUAGGAUGUUGAUAUUAAAACCACCCCAGCCUCUGCAUAGGUCUGUAGGAUGACAAUGAAGAGAAAUUUAUCAUCUCAUAAUAUAAAGAAUUGUCGAUGCAGUUAAAGAAUCUAUAUUAAUGGCUGGCAAACACAGUUCGGAAGCUACAACACUUCAAUGAAACGACAAUUUUAAACUCAACCCUGCAGACAGUUUACUUGAAGGUGAAUGAAUAAGCAACACGAAAGAUCCUCAAAAAUGUUUGGUACAACUAUAGCAUGUUCACAACAAUGAAAAUUAGUAUACUUCUAGAACAUUUGUAAGGACUAUUGUUUUAGUAGAACAAUUAUGAGUCUCUUAAUACAGAAUAUCAAAUAGGAAGAUGGAUGACAAUUAUAUAAAUGAAUAAGAAACUCAAAAAGAAAAUACAACAAUUAGCCAGAAAAUACAAAACUGCAGAUACACACAGUGAACAACACAAUUAUGAAAUUCAUUAUCGUUGAUACCAAACUGUUCUUAUAAGAUAAGUUUUUUUUAUGUAUGUUCUCGGCAUCUCAUGUUACAAACACAUAUUCUCUUUUACCAAGAAACAUAUUUAAAAAAACGCUAUGUCAGCCUCAACCCAUGUGGAAUUUAGAAUGUAAACUACACAAAGAGAUUUUAUUAUUACCAGUUAGAUCUAUUUUCAAAGAAAAAAUAUAUUUUACAAAUCCCAUUGUAUAUGAAAGCCAUUAUACAAGACAAACCUUGCAUACAUUAGUAGUGUACAAGAUGGUUUAUGUAUUAUUCCACCCGUUAAAAUAUGAUAAAUAAAUUACAUUAAGUUUACAUGUGUUUCCUUGUCAUUUACUGCUAUUAAUGGUAAUUGUUAUCAAUUCUGGCCAUCAGUUAUGGUUUUUAAUGUUAACGAUAUCCAAACUGUGGUGUUUUAUUUCUAGUCUCCCUCUUAGUAUAAUUUAUUACUUUACGUGAAAAAGAUAUUUUUCUGUAUAAUGGUAUCAUAUUUCAAUACUGCUCAGUUCUAAUUAUCGUUCAAUAUCGCUAUUCAAUGAAAGCUAUUAGGAAUCAAGAACGGCAAAUUAAUCACCUAAAAACCGAGAUAAAUCACAGAUUCAAAUGAUUGGCCUACACAAAAUGGCUACCAGAGCGACUCUAAACGUAGUCACUUCACAAUUAAAAUUAAUUGAAUGUUUAGUUGAAAGAAAAACAAACAAAGAUUUACUAACUUGAUAAGGCUUGUUUCUUGUUUUUGUAGGUAACGUCUUGCUUCCGAAUAGUACACCAUUCGGAAUCCUUAAACGGAUGAAGUGAAUGACGAUAAAGGACCAAUGUCAGACUAAGUGAUUGAUGAGAAUAUGAUUUGAUUAAUUCAAAGAAAAGUGUGUUUCUUGUAGAACGUUGAACAUUUGUUGACUUUUUGCUGUUAAAAUCAGCAUACCUCGCUGUUAACUGAGCAGGUGUGAGAUUUUAUUUUUGUGAAGUAUUUUUCACAUUUGACCUUAUUCCGUUUACCAGUAAACUGGCUAAAGUGAUUUCGAUAACUUUUUUCUUCUGCUCGUGAUGUUUAACGAUAAUUUAAUGAUUGAAUUAAAUGAGCCAGUUUUGAAACAUGUGAGAAAGAUAGAUGACUUUAUUAUUGCUAAUCAAUGGGAUUUUAGUGAGUUUUAAAUGAUAAUAUUAAACCAAAUGAUUGCAGAAAGAACACGUUUAAUGGAUGAAACCUAUCUGUCUCAAAUAUGAAUUUAUAUAUAUUUUGAAACCAAUAACUGGGUUUUAUUCACAAGCAAGAUUUAUAUAUCCAGGUUCGUACCUUGUGGGCAUGAUAAUGAACCCUCAUUUUUUAAUUCUGUUUUUGUUGUUCAUUGUCAUUUAUUGUUAGGUUCACUAUUCAAAGAUCGUCAACAUUCGAUUAAAGAAAAUAUUCAAAAUAUCCUAUAUUUGUCAAAAAAAAUAAAGUAAAAUGAGAAAACUAUUCAUCAUACUAAAAUUUUACAUUUAUAGGUCUUUAUUUGUGUGUGCUGAUUUAGCAUAUGCGAUUUACGUUUGUAGAAAUCCUGCAUUAUUGUAAUGAUACUGAUAACGUAAACAUCAAACCAGAGCAAACCAACAACUUGUACUCAGGGACAAGGGGAGUAAUUGUUUACCAAAACGUUUUAUCUAAAUAUGUAAAUUGCUUAAAUGUUACAAGCAGAUAUUAAAUAAGUAUACUUGUGCUUUGUGUUGAAGGAUUAUAAAAGCAUCACAAUUAGAAUGAAACAUACUAAGGAAUACGACAGUUGUUUUCCAUUUGUUUGAUGUGUUUGAGCUUUUGAUUUUCCAUUAAAUAAGAAGGGACUUUCCGUUUUGAAUUUUCCUUGGAGUUCGGUACUUUUGUUAUUUAACUUUUUAUAUAUUUGAAAAUGCAAGUAGUAUUAGUAGACGAAAAGAAAUAUCUUUGUGUAUCUACAAUUAUAAGCCCGGACAGAUUGGAAAUACAUUCAUUAUCGAAAGCUUUUCCUACAUAUUUAUAAUUUGUGAACAAAUAAGGUUUACUUUAAGAAUAUAAAAACCAGUACAGUAACACGUGCAAAAUGGCAAUAAAGUCCUGUCAAGUUAGAACUUCAUUAUGAUUCCUUCAUUAUAAUUUCUAAGUGGUAAAAAUAGCGCAAAUACAAGAAUAAUACUUUGCCCCCAAAAAGGCUUUGAAUGAUGAAGAGUUAUAAAAGAACUGUAACGUCAGAAAAUAUUGUAAAGGUUUAAAACAUAGGCAGAAUAUAAAUAACGUAAAAAUACACUCCACAAACAAUAAUCAGAACUAAACAAAAACAUCCAACAAUCUUACUAAAAAAAAAGACUUUAAAAAAACAAUUAAAUAUGAUAAAGAAAUGCCAAAAACAUAUGCCCCAAAAACAAUAACAAAUAAGAAAAAUAUUCAAAAAAGCCAAAUCAUUCCCAUCCAAUAUAAACCAAAGGACGACAGAAAUAAAUUCAAAACCAUACGGUCAUUGGAGAAAAAUUAUCAUUAUAGAUAGAGCGCUCUUUACACAGUUUGUCCAUUAUUCCUGAGAGUAAAAGGAGAUGUGUUGUAUAUAUUUACUUUGACAGCAGCAUAAAUGUUUGGUUGUAUUUAUCUAUAGUCUUUUAUUGUUAUGCCUAUGUGUAUGCAUGUGGGACCUUAUUUUGUGUAAUAAAUAUUAAAAAUUUUAA